RNAcentral lists this ribosomal RNA (404 nucleotides) under Bacillota bacterium. RNAcentral describes it as "Firmicutes bacterium partial 16S ribosomal RNA". It matches the Rfam family "Bacterial small subunit ribosomal RNA", at positions 355 to 776 of the family's 1533-position model. The record is from RNAcentral. Lineage: Bacteria; Bacillati; Bacillota.
UGGGGAAUAUUGGACAAUGGGCGAAAGCCUGAUCCAGCAAUGCCGCGUGAGUGAUGAAGGCCUUAGGGUUGUAAAGCUCUUUUACCAGGGAUGAUAAUGACAGUACCUGGAGAAUAAGCUCCGGCUAACUCCGUGCCAGCAGCCGCGGUAAUACGGAGGGAGCUAGCGUUGUUCGGAAUUACUGGGCGUAAAGCGCGCGUAGGCGGCGUUUCAAGUCAGAGGUGAAAGCCUGGAGCUCAACUCCAGAACUGCCUUUGAAACUAGAACGCUAGAAUCGUGGAGAGGUCAGUGGAAUUCCGAGUGUAGAGGUGAAAUUCGUAGAUAUUCGGAAGAACACCAGUGGCGAAGGCGACUGACUGGACAAGUAUUGACGAUGAGGUGCGAAAGCGUGGGGAGCGAACAGG